CCAAUAGCGUAUAUUAAAGUUGUUGCAGUUAAAAAGCUCGUAGUUGAAUUUCGGGGUUCAUACGUUGGUCGGGCUAUUUGGUCUGUACUUAUGUAAUGGAUUCCUACCUUCUGAAUAACCGGCAUGCCAUUAAUUUGGUGCGCCGGGGAAGCAGGACUGUUACCUUGAAAAAAUUAGAGUGCUUAAAGCAGGCUAUCGCCUGAAUACAUUAGCAUGGAAUAAUGAAAUAGGACGGCAUGGUUCUAUUUUGUUGGUUUCUAGGAUCACCGUAAUGAUUAAUAGGGAUAGUUGGGGGCAUUAGUAUUCAAUUGUCAGAGGUGAAAUUCUUUGAUUUAUUGAAGACUAACUUCUGCGAAAGCAUUUGCCAAGGAUGUUUUCAUUAAUCAAGAACGAAAGUUAGGGGAUCGAAGACGAUCAGAUACCGUCGUAGUCUUAACCAUAAACUAUGCCGACUAGGGAUCGGACGAUGUUAAUUUUUUAAUGACUCGUUCGGCGCCUUACG
Molecule: unclassified non-coding RNA, 502 nt
Filed under: uncultured Acaulospora
Lineage: Eukaryota; Fungi; Glomeromycota; Glomeromycetes; Diversisporales; Acaulosporaceae
Description: SSU rRNA
Rfam family: Eukaryotic small subunit ribosomal RNA
Source: RNAcentral